CAAAGGUUUGGUCCUAGUCUUCCUAUUAAUUUUUACUACGCUUACACAUGCAAGUAUCUGCAUUCCCGUGAAAAUGCCCUUUACUACCAAAAAGUAGAACAGGAGCGGAUAUCAGGCACUUACAUUGCCAAAGACAUCUUGUUUAACCACGCCCCCAAGGGAACUCAGCAGUGAUAAACAUUGAAUAUGAGCGACAUCAAGCUCGAAUCAGCGAUAAUAAACAGAGUCGGUAAAUCUCGUGCCAGCCACCGCGGUUAUACGAGAGACUCAAAUUAAUCCAAUCGGCCCAAAGAGUGGUUAGACGUGUAAAUAAAAUAUGGUUAAAAACUAACUCUGCUGUCACACGCAAAAGUUUAAAACAAACACAACAUCGAAAGUAACCUUACAAUAGUAACAUUGAACCCACGACAGCUAGGGCACAAACUGGGAUUAGAUACCCCACUAUGCCUAGCCAUAAACUUUGAUUUAUCCGCCCGAGUACUACGAGCAACAGCUAAA
This 498-nucleotide ribosomal RNA is filed under the name Neurergus strauchii strauchii. Its description in RNAcentral is "partial 12S ribosomal RNA". It matches the Rfam family "Bacterial small subunit ribosomal RNA", at positions 8 to 897 of the family's 1533-position model. The record is from RNAcentral. Lineage: Eukaryota; Metazoa; Chordata; Amphibia; Caudata; Salamandridae.